Long non-coding RNA from Paramisgurnus dabryanus, 403 nucleotides. RefSeq lists it as uncharacterized. The record is from RefSeq and is a predicted model, not a curated record. Lineage: Eukaryota; Metazoa; Chordata; Actinopteri; Cypriniformes; Cobitidae.
CAGAAUAUGAGUGUAAGUGUGAGGAUCAUCAUGUCUGGUCCAAUGACACCUGUGAGAUCUAUCAGGUGUGUGAUGGGAUUGUGGGAGGAACUUGUGGAUGUAUUCAAGGUCUUCCUUCAGAGGGUCAACUUUGCCAGAGAGACAUAAAUGAAUGUAAAGAUGCACAGUCAGUGUGUGGUCAAAACUCAGAUUGUAUUAACACCAUUGGGAGUCACAUUUGUUCAUGCUGGAGUGGAUUUGCUCCCUUGUAUAAAAACAUUCCUGUGAGCGUCAACAACUCAUGUGUCUGGACUCAACCUUUAACUGAAUAUCUGAUUGAAAUUGAGAUAAAUACCCUGAAUCCUGCCAUCAUUGAUCAGCUGAGGGUCCUUCUGUUGUCUUUUAAUUUACCCUACACACUCAC